RNAcentral lists this ribosomal RNA (300 nucleotides) under uncultured Lactobacillus sp. Its description in RNAcentral is "partial 16S ribosomal RNA". The record is from RNAcentral. Lineage: Bacteria; Bacillati; Bacillota; Bacilli; Lactobacillales; Lactobacillaceae.
GACUACUCGGGUAUCUAAUCCUGUUUGCUCACCACGCUUUCGAGCCUCCGUGUCAGUCACAGACCAGAAUGUCGCCUUCGCCACUGGUGUUCUUCCAUAUAUCUACGCAUUCCACCGCUACACAUGGAGUUACACAUUCCUCUUCUGUACUCAAGUUUCACAGUUUCCAAUGACCCUCCCCGGUUAAGCCGUCGGCUUUCACAUACGACUUAAGAUACCUACUGCGCCACCUUUACGCCCAAUCACUACGCACAACCCUUCCCACCUACGUAUUCCUCACUCCCAUCGCACGACUUCACC